This 292-nucleotide ribosomal RNA is filed under the name uncultured bacterium. RNAcentral's name for it is "partial 16S ribosomal RNA". It matches the Rfam family "Bacterial small subunit ribosomal RNA", at positions 505 to 796 of the family's 1533-position model. The record is from RNAcentral.
GUGUCAGCAGCCGCGGUAAGACGAACCGUGCGAACGUUGUUCGGAAUCACUGGGCUUAAAGGGCGCGUAGGCGGCCCGCCGCGUCCGGGGUGAAAUCCUCCCGCUCAACGGGAGAACGGCCUCGGAUACGGGCGGGCUGGAGGGGGGUAGGGGCACGCGGAACUGUGGGUGGAGCGGUGAAAUGCGUUGAGAUCCACAGGAACUCCGGUGGCGAAGGCGGCGUGCUGGACCCCAUCUGACGCUGAGGCGCGAAAGCCAGGGGAGCGAACGGGAUUAGAUACCCGGGUAGUCC